Molecule: small nuclear RNA, 163 nt
Organism: Callithrix jacchus (white-tufted-ear marmoset)
Lineage: Eukaryota; Metazoa; Chordata; Mammalia; Primates; Cebidae
Gene: U1
Rfam family: U1 spliceosomal RNA
About the family: U1 is a small nuclear RNA (snRNA) component of the spliceosome (involved in pre-mRNA splicing).
Source: Ensembl
AUACUUAUCUUUCAGGGGCGAUACGGUGAUCACAAAAGUGGUUUUCCCAGGGCAAGGCUUAUCCGUUGCAUUCCGGAUGUGCUGAUUUCUGCUGUUUCCCAAAUGUGGAAAACUCGGCUGCAUAAUUUGUGAUAGUAGCGGACUGCGUUCGUGCUUUCCCCUG